UUGGUGUUAGUUUGAAAUGUUAGGCUUUAAGUUAUUAGUUGGGAAAUAAAGAAUAGAAGAGAGGAGAAUAUUUUUGGAUUUUUUUUGACAAAGGACUAAACCUACGUUUUUUUAUUAGUGGGCCUGACAAGAUUUACAAAUCCUGCUCCUACGUAUCUCAAUAGAGAAAUCAAGGCUUACGUAGUUCUGGGUAGAAAAUGUUUGUUUGUUGGUCGAUUUGAGCGAAAGCUAUAUU
This 235-nucleotide long non-coding RNA is filed under the name Lathyrus oleraceus (garden pea). Its description in RNAcentral is "Pisum sativum (pea) long non-coding RNA (PSAT_LNC016006)". The record is from RNAcentral. Lineage: Eukaryota; Viridiplantae; Streptophyta; Magnoliopsida; Fabales; Fabaceae.